Molecule: ribosomal RNA, 253 nt
Filed under: uncultured bacterium
Lineage: Bacteria
Description: partial 16S ribosomal RNA
Rfam family: Bacterial small subunit ribosomal RNA
Source: RNAcentral
UACGUAGGGUGCGAGCGUUGUCCGGAAUUAUUGGGCGUAAAGAGCUCGUAGGCGGUCUGUCGCGUCGGAUGUGAAAGCCUGGGGCUUAACUCCGGGUCUGCAUUCGAUACGGGCAGACUAGAGUGUGGUAGGGGAGAUCGGAAUUCCUGGUGUAGCGGUGAAAUGCGCAGAUAUCAGGAGGAACACCGGUGGCGAAGGCGGAUCUCUGGGCCAUUACUGACGCUGAGGAGCGAAAGCGUGGGGAGCGAACAGG